UUCUCAAGAAGGUGGCAUUCAU
This 22-nucleotide microRNA is filed under the name Callithrix jacchus (white-tufted-ear marmoset). RNAcentral describes it as "cja-miR-513c-5p". Its record names the gene cja-miR-513c-5p. The record is from miRBase by way of RNAcentral. Lineage: Eukaryota; Metazoa; Chordata; Mammalia; Primates; Cebidae.